Molecule: ribosomal RNA, 274 nt
Filed under: uncultured bacterium
Lineage: Bacteria
Description: partial 16S ribosomal RNA
Rfam family: Bacterial small subunit ribosomal RNA
Source: RNAcentral
AUACGGAGGGUCCGAGCGUUAAUCGGAAUUACUGGGCGUAAAGCGUACGUAGGUGGCUUGAUAAGUCGGAUGUGAAAGCCCUGGGCUCAACCUGGGAACUGCAUUCGAUACUGUCUGGCUAGAGUAUAGUAGAGGGAAGUGGAAUUCCGGGUGUAGCGGUGAAAUGCGUAGAUAUCCGGAGGAACACCAGUGGCGAAGGCGGCUUCCUGGACUAAUACUGACACUGAGGUACGAAAGCGUGGGGAGCAAACGGGAUUAGAAACCCCAGUAGUCC